CCUACGGGUGGCUGCAGUGGGGAAUAUUGGACAAUGGGGGAAACCCUGAUCCAGCCAUGCCGCGUGAGUGAUGAAGGCCUUAGGGUUGUAAAGCUCUUUCGCCAGGGAAGAUAAUGACGGUACCUGGAAAAGAAGCCUCGGCUAACUCCGUGCCAGCAGCCGCGGUAAGACGGAGGAGGCUAGCGUUGUUCGGAAUUACUGGGCGUAAAGCGUGCGCAGGUUGUGAGUUCAGUUGGAUGUGAAAGCCCGGGGCUUAACCUCGGAUGUGCAUCCAAUACUGGCUCGCUGGAGGUUGGAAGAGGAGAGUGGAAUUCCCAGUGUAGAGGUGAAAUUCGUAGAUAUUGGGAAGAACACCAGUGGCGAAGGCGGCUCUCUGGUCCAUACCUGACACUCAUGCACGAAAGCGUGGGGAGCAAACAGGAUUAGAUACCCGAGUAGUC
Molecule: ribosomal RNA, 440 nt
Filed under: uncultured bacterium
Lineage: Bacteria
Description: bacterial SSU rRNA
Rfam family: Bacterial small subunit ribosomal RNA
Source: RNAcentral